Molecule: ribosomal RNA, 253 nt
Filed under: uncultured bacterium
Lineage: Bacteria
Description: partial 16S ribosomal RNA
Rfam family: Bacterial small subunit ribosomal RNA
Source: RNAcentral
UACGAAGGGUGCAAACGUUGCUCGGAAUUAUUGGGCGUAAAGCGCACGUAGGCGGCGCUGCAAGUCCCAUGUGAAAUCCCACGGCUCAACCGUGGAAGUGCAUGGGAAACUGCAGUGCUUGAGUACUUAAGAGGAUCGCGGAAUUCCCGGUGUAGAGGUGAAAUUCGUAGAUAUCGGGAGGAACACCAGUGGCGAAGGCGGCGAUCUGGGAAGAUACUGACGCUGAGGCACGAAAGCGUGGGGAGCAAACAGG